Molecule: ribosomal RNA, 459 nt
Filed under: uncultured bacterium
Lineage: Bacteria
Description: partial 16S ribosomal RNA
Rfam family: Bacterial small subunit ribosomal RNA
Source: RNAcentral
CCUACGGGGGGCAGCAGUGAGGAAUAUUGGUCAAUGGGCGCGAGCCUGAACCAGCCAAGUCGCGUGAGGGAAGACGGUCCUAUGGAUUGUAAACCUCUUUUGUCGGGGAGCAAAAGACGCCACGCGUGGCGUUCCGAGAGUACCCGAAGAAAAAGCAUCGGCUAACUCCGUGCCAGCAGCCGCGGUAAUACGGAGGAUGCGAGCGUUAUCCGGAUUUAUUGGGUUUAAAGGGUGGGCAGGCGGAAGAUCAAGGCAGCGGUAAAAUUGAGAGGCUCAACCUCGUCGAGCCGUUGAAACUGGUUUUCUGGAGUGGGCGAGAAGUAUGCGGAAUGCGUGGUGUAGCGGUGAAAUGCAUAGAUAUCACGCAGAACACCGAUUGCGAAGGCAGCAUACCGGCGCUCAACUGACGCUCAUGCACGAAAGUGUGGGUAUCGAACAGGAUUAGAUACCCUGGUAGUC